RNAcentral lists this ribosomal RNA (467 nucleotides) under uncultured bacterium. RNAcentral describes it as "partial 16S ribosomal RNA". It matches the Rfam family "Bacterial small subunit ribosomal RNA", at positions 29 to 507 of the family's 1533-position model. The record is from RNAcentral.
AUGAACGCUGGCGGCGUGCUUAACACAUGCAAGUCGAACGGAAAGGCCCAAGCUUGCUUGGGUACUCGAGUGGCGAACGGGUGAGUAACACGUGGGUGAUCUGCCCUGCACUUCGGGAUAAGCCUGGGAAACUGGGUCUAAUACCGGAUAGGACGAUGGUUUGGAUGCCAUUGUGGAAAGUUUUUUCGGUGUGGGAUGAGCUCGCGGCCUAUCAGCUUGUUGGUGGGGUAAUGGCCUACCAAGGCGUCGACGGGUAGCCGGCCUGAGAGGGUGUACGGCCACAUUGGGAAUGAGAUACGGCCCAGACUCCUACGGGAGGCAGCAGUGGGGAAUAUUGCACAAUGGGCGCAAGCCUGAUGCAGCGACGCCGCGUGGGGGAUGACGGCCUUAGGGUUGUAAACUCCUUUCGCUAGGGACGAAGCGUGUUUGUGACGGUACCUGGAGAAGAAGCACCGGCUAACUACGUG